Molecule: ribosomal RNA, 472 nt
Filed under: Streptomyces sp. 313D05
Lineage: Bacteria; Bacillati; Actinomycetota; Actinomycetes; Kitasatosporales; Streptomycetaceae
Description: bacterial SSU rRNA
Rfam family: Bacterial small subunit ribosomal RNA
Source: RNAcentral
UAGUGGCGAACGGGUGAGUAACACGUGGGCAAUCUGCCCUGCACUCUGGGACAAGCCCUGGAAACGGGGUCUAAUACCGGAUAUGACACGCUCCCGCAUGGGAUGUGUGUGGAAAGCUCCGGCGGUGCAGGAUGAGCCCGCGGCCUAUCAGCUUGUUGGUGGGGUGAUGGCCUACCAAGGCGACGACGGGUAGCCGGCCUGAGAGGGCGACCGGCCACACUGGGACUGAGACACGGCCCAGACUCCUACGGGAGGCAGCAGUGGGGAAUAUUGCACAAUGGGCGAAAGCCUGAUGCAGCGACGCCGCGUGAGGGAUGACGGCCUUCGGGUUGUAAACCUCUUUCAGCAGGGAAGAAGCGAGAGUGACGGUACCUGCAGAAGAAGCGCCGGCUAACUACGUGCCAGCAGCCGCGGUAAUACGUAGGGCGCAAGCGUUGUCCGGAAUUAUUGGGCGUAAAGAGCUCGUAGGCGA